UCAUAUCUUGCAGAAGAGGGUCUGCAAUUUGUUUUGAGAAUAAAUAAGCUAGUUGAAGAGCCAAUUGUUCCUGCACAUUUAGAUGUAAA
Molecule: transfer RNA, 89 nt
Filed under: Collibacillus ludicampi
Lineage: Bacteria; Bacillati; Bacillota; Bacilli; Caryophanales; Alicyclobacillaceae
Description: tRNA-Ser
Source: RNAcentral